CCUACGGGAGGCAGCAGUGAGGAAUAUUGGUCAAUGGACGAAAGUCUGAACCAGCCACGCCGCGUGAAGGAUGACGGCCCUAUGAGUUGUAAACUUCUUUUGUAAGGGGCUAAAACGAGACACGUGUGCCGGUUUGCAAGUACUUUAUGAAUAAGGAUCGGCUAACUCCGUGCCAGCAGCCGCGGUAAUACGGAGGAUCCAAGCGUUAUCCGGAUUUAUUGGGUUUAAAGGGUUCGUAGGUGGGUUGUUAAGUCAGGGGUGAAAGUCUGCGGCUCAACCGUUGAACUGCAUUUGAUACUGGCAGUCUUGAGUGCAGUUGAGGUAGGCGGAAUGCGUGGUGUAGCGGUGAAAUGCGUAGAUAUCACGAAGAACACCGAUUGCGAAGGCAGCUUACCAAACUGUGACUGACGUUGAUGCUCGAAAGUGUGGGGAGCAAACAGGAUUAGAUACCCCAGUAGUC
RNAcentral lists this ribosomal RNA (460 nucleotides) under uncultured bacterium. RNAcentral's name for it is "partial 16S ribosomal RNA". It matches the Rfam family "Bacterial small subunit ribosomal RNA", at positions 338 to 795 of the family's 1533-position model. The record is from RNAcentral.